This 209-nucleotide long non-coding RNA is filed under the name Panax ginseng (ginseng). RNAcentral's name for it is "long non-coding RNA (PGIN_LNC014421)". Lineage: Eukaryota; Viridiplantae; Streptophyta; Magnoliopsida; Apiales; Araliaceae. The record is from RNAcentral.
UAUGAAGUUCGGGCAUACACACACAACACGACUCUCAAUGUGAAGAACGGUGUGUGCAAAGUAGAAGAGAAAGGCUUUAAAGUGUGUAAGAAGGCUUAUAAUGGACUGCCAAAGAAGCCUUAUAUAACUUUAAAUGGAUGAACACUCGGCUCCUGCCGGUAAAAAUAUGACUGAAUAUAAGCUCACAAGUGUUUAAAAUGAGAAAGCAC